UCCCUAGUAGUCCAGUGAUUAAGAUUCUGCGCUUCCAUCGCAGGGAGCAUGGGUUCAAUCCCUGUUUGAAGAA
RNAcentral lists this transfer RNA (73 nucleotides) under Ovis aries (sheep). It matches the Rfam family "tRNA". From Rfam's summary of the family: Transfer RNA (tRNA) molecules are approximately 80 nucleotides in length. The record is from Rfam by way of RNAcentral. Lineage: Eukaryota; Metazoa; Chordata; Mammalia; Artiodactyla; Bovidae.